RNAcentral lists this ribosomal RNA (436 nucleotides) under uncultured bacterium. RNAcentral describes it as "bacterial SSU rRNA". It matches the Rfam family "Archaeal small subunit ribosomal RNA", at positions 725 to 1142 of the family's 1478-position model. The record is from RNAcentral.
AGCUAAUAGAUACCCUGGUAGUCCCAGCUGUAAACGAUGCAGACUCGGUGAUGAGUUGGCUACAUGCCAUCUCAGUGCCGCAGGGGAAGCCGUUAAGUUUGCCGCCUGGGGAGUACGGUCGCAAGACUGAAACUUAAAGGAAUUGGCGGGGAGCACCACAAAGGGUGAANGACCUGUCGGUUCUAAUUGGUAGUCAACGACCGGAAACUACGUUACCGGGGUCGGACAGCAGUGUGAAGGUACGAAGCUGAAGACUUUUACCAGACAAGCUGAGAGGAGGUGCAUGGCCGUCGCCAGCUCGUGCCGUGAGGUGUCCUGUUAAGUCAGGUAACGAGCGAGACCCCUCGCUCUAGUUGCUACUAUUAUUCUCAGGAGUAGUGGAGCUAAUUAGAGGGACUGCCGUCGCUGAGACGGAGGAAGGAGGGGGUCGUACGGC